UGUUAACUGAAUCCAUAGGUUAACAGAGCAAACCGGGGGAACUGAAACAUCUAAGUACCCCGAGGAGAAGAAAUCAACCGAGAUUCCGGUAGUAGCGGCGAGCGAACCUGGAUUAGCCCUUAAGCACUCGUUGAAGUAGGUGAACAAGCUGGAAAGCUUGGCGAUACAGGGUGAUAGCCCCGUAACCGACGCUUCAUCGAGCGUGAAAUCGAGUAGGGCGGGACACGUGAUAUCCUGUCUGAAUAUGGGGGGACCAUCCUCCAAGGCUAAAUACUCCUGACUGACCGAUAGUGAACCAGUACCGUGAGGGAAAGGCGAAA
This 320-nucleotide ribosomal RNA is filed under the name Vibrio mimicus. Its description in RNAcentral is "bacterial LSU rRNA". It matches the Rfam family "Bacterial large subunit ribosomal RNA", at positions 152 to 519 of the family's 2925-position model. Lineage: Bacteria; Pseudomonadati; Pseudomonadota; Gammaproteobacteria; Vibrionales; Vibrionaceae. The record is from RNAcentral.